GACGAACGCUGGCGGCGUGCUUAACACAUGCAAGUCGAACGGAAAGGCCCUGCUUUUGUGGGGUGCUCGAGUGGCGAACGGGUGAGUAACACGUGAGUAACCUGCCCUUGACUUUGGGAUAACUUCAGGAAACUGGGGCUAAUACCGGAUAGGAGCUCCUGCUGCAUGGUGGGGGUUGGAAAGUUUCGGCGGUUGGGGAUGGACUCGCGGCUUAUCAGCUUGUUGGCGGGGUAGUGGCUUACCAAGGCUUUGACGGGUAGCCGGCCUGAGAGGGUGACCGGCCACAUUGGGACUGAGAUACGGCCCAGACUCCUACGGGAGGCAGCAGUGGGGAAUAUUGCACAAUGGGCGGAAGCCGGAUGCAGCAACGCCGCGUGCGGGAUGACGGCCUUCGGGUUGUAAACCGCUUUCGCCUGUGACGAAGCGUGAGUGACGGUAAUGGGUAAAGAAGCACCGGCUAACUACGUG
Molecule: ribosomal RNA, 468 nt
Filed under: uncultured bacterium
Lineage: Bacteria
Description: partial 16S ribosomal RNA
Rfam family: Bacterial small subunit ribosomal RNA
Source: RNAcentral